GACGAACGCUGGCGGCGUGCUUAACACAUGCAAGUCGAACGGAAAGGCCCUGCUUUUGUGGGGUGCUCGAGUGGCGAACGGGUGAGUAACACGUGAGUAACCUGCCCUUGACUUUGGGAUAACUUCAGGAAACUGGGGCUAAUACCGGAUAGGAGCUCCUGCUGCAUGGUGGGAGUUGGAAAGUUUCGGCGGUUGGGGAUGGACUCGCGGCUUAUCAGCUUGUUGGUGGGGUAGUGGCUUACCAAGGCUUUGACGGGUAGCCGGCCUGAGAGGGUGACCGGCCACAUUGGGACUGAGAUACGGCCCAGACUCCUACGGGAGGCAGCAGUGGGGAAUAUUGCACAAUGGGCGGAAGCCUGAUGCAGCAACGCCGCGUGCGGGAUGACGGCCUUCGGGUUGUAAACCGCUUUCGCCUGUGACGAGGCGUGAGUGACGGUAAUGGGUAAAGAAGCACCGGCUAACUACGUG
RNAcentral lists this ribosomal RNA (468 nucleotides) under uncultured bacterium. RNAcentral's name for it is "partial 16S ribosomal RNA". It matches the Rfam family "Bacterial small subunit ribosomal RNA", at positions 28 to 507 of the family's 1533-position model. The record is from RNAcentral.